RNAcentral lists this ribosomal RNA (1336 nucleotides) under uncultured bacterium. RNAcentral describes it as "bacterial SSU rRNA". It matches the Rfam family "Bacterial small subunit ribosomal RNA", at positions 64 to 1381 of the family's 1533-position model. The record is from RNAcentral.
GAGCGAACAGAUGAGGAGCUUGCUCCUCUGACGUUAGCGGCGGACGGGUGAGUAACACGUGGAUAACCUACCUAUAAGACUGGGAUAACUUCGGGAAACCGGAGCUAAUACCGGAUAAUAUAUUGAACCGCAUGGUUCAAUAGUGAAAGACGGUUUUGCUGUCACUUAUAGAUGGAUCCGCGCCGCAUUAGCUAGUUGGUAAGGUAACGGCUUACCAAGGCAACGAUGCGUAGCCGACCUGAGAGGGUGAUCGGCCACACUGGAACUGAGACACGGUCCAGACUCCUACGGGAGGCAGCAGUAGGGAAUCUUCCGCAAUGGGCGAAAGCCUGACGGAGCAACGCCGCGUGAGUGAUGAAGGUCUUCGGAUCGUAAAACUCUGUUAUUAGGGAAGAACAAAUGUGUAAGUAACUAUGCACGUCUUGACGGUACCUAAUCAGAAAGCCACGGCUAACUACGUGCCAGCAGCCGCGGUAAUACGUAGGUGGCAAGCGUUAUCCGGAAUUAUUGGGCGUAAAGCGCGCGUAGGCGGUUUUUUAAGUCUGAUGUGAAAGCCCACGGCUCAACCGUGGAGGGUCAUUGGAAACUGGAAAACUUGAGUGCAGAAGAGGAAAGUGGAAUUCCAUGUGUAGCGGUGAAAUGCGCAGAGAUAUGGAGGAACACCAGUGGCGAAGGCGACUUUCUGGUCUGUAACUGACGCUGAUGUGCGAAAGCGUGGGGAUCAAACAGGAUUAGAUACCCUGGUAGUCCACGCCGUAAACGAUGAGUGCUAAGUGUUAGGGGGUUUCCGCCCCUUAGUGCUGCAGCUAACGCAUUAAGCACUCCGCCUGGGGAGUACGACCGCAAGGUUGAAACUCAAAGGAAUUGACGGGGACCCGCACAAGCGGUGGAGCAUGUGGUUUAAUUCGAAGCAACGCGAAGAACCUUACCAAAUCUUGACAUCCUCUGACCCCUCUAGAGAUAGAGUUUUCCCCUUCGGGGGACAGAGUGACAGGUGGUGCAUGGUUGUCGUCAGCUCGUGUCGUGAGAUGUUGGGUUAAGUCCCGCAACGAGCGCAACCCUUAAGCUUAGUUGCCAUCAUUAAGUUGGGCACUCUAAGUUGACUGCCGGUGACAAACCGGAGGAAGGUGGGGAUGACGUCAAAUCAUCAUGCCCCUUAUGAUUUGGGCUACACACGUGCUACAAUGGACAAUACAAAGGGUAGCGAAACCGCGAGGUCAAGCAAAUCCCAUAAAGUUGUUCUCAGUUCGGAUUGUAGUCUGCAACUCGACUAUAUGAAGCUGGAAUCGCUAGUAAUCGUAGAUCAGCAUGCUACGGUGAAUACGUUCCCGGGUCU